GCAGUGGUGGUUUAGGGGUAGAAUUCUCACCUUCCAAGCGAGAGGCCUGGGUUCGAUUCCCAGCCGAGGCC
Molecule: non-coding RNA, 71 nt
Organism: Orycteropus afer afer
Lineage: Eukaryota; Metazoa; Chordata; Mammalia; Tubulidentata; Orycteropodidae
Source: the annotation of a RefSeq genome assembly